GUUAAGCGACUAAGCGUACACGGUGGAUGCCCUGGCAGUCAGAGGCGAUGAAGGACGUGCUAAUCUGCGAUAAGCGUCGGUAAGGUGAUAUGAACCGUUAUAACCGGCGAUUUCCGAAUGGGGAAACCCAGUGUGUUUCGACACACUAUCAUUAACUGAAUCCAUAGGUUAAUGAGGCGAACCGGGGGAACUGAAACAUCUAAGUACCCCGAGGAAAAGAAAUCAACCGAGAUUCCCCCAGUAGCGGCGAGCGAACGGGGAGCAGCCCAGAGCCUGAAUCAGUGUGUGUGUUAGUGGAAGCGUCUGGAAAGGCGCGCGAUACAGGGUGACAGCCCCGUACACAAAAAUGCACAUGCUGUGAGCUCGAUGAGUAGGGCGGGACACGUGGUAUCCUGUCUGAAUAUGGGGGGACCAUCCUCCAAGGCUAAAUACUCCUGACUGACCGAUAGUGAACCAGUACCGUGAGGGAAAGGCGAAAAGAACCCCGGCGAGGGGAGUGAAAAAGAACCUGAAACCGUGUACGUACAAGCAGUGGGAGCCUCUUUUAUGGGGUGACUGCGUACCUUUUGUAUAAUGGGUCAGCGACUUAUAUUCUGUAGCAAGGUUAACCGAAUAGGGGAGCCGAAGGGAAACCGAGUCUUAACUGGGCGUUAAGUUGCAGGGUAUAGACCCGAAACCCGGUGAUCUAGCCAUGGGCAGGUUGAAGGUUGGGUAACACUAACUGGAGGACCGAACCGACUAAUGUUGAAAAAUUAGCGGAUGACUUGUGGCUGGGGGUGAAAGGCCAAUCAAACCGGGAGAUAGCUGGUUCUCCCCGAAAGCUAUUUAGGUAGCGCCUCGUGAAUUCAUCUCCGGGGGUAGAGCACUGUUUCGGCAAGGGGGUCAUCCCGACUUACCAACCCGAUGCAAACUGCGAAUACCGGAGAAUGUUAUCACGGGAGACACACGGCGGGUGCUAACGUCCGUCGUGAAGAGGGAAACAACCCAGACCGCCAGCUAAGGUCCCAAAGUCAUGGUUAAGUGGGAAACGAUGUGGGAAGGCCCAGACAGCCAGGAUGUUGGCUUAGAAGCAGCCAUCAUUUAAAGAAAGCGUAAUAGCUCACUGGUCGAGUCGGCCUGCGCGGAAGAUGUAACGGGGCUAAACCAUGCACCGAAGCUGCGGCAGCGACGCUUAUGCGUUGUUGGGUAGGGGAGCGUUCUGUAAGCCUGUGAAGGUGUGCUGUGAGGCAUGCUGGAGGUAUCAGAAGUGCGAAUGCUGACAUAAGUAACGAUAAAGCGGGUGAAAAGCCCGCUCGCCGGAAGACCAAGGGUUCCUGUCCAACGUUAAUCGGGGCAGGGUGAGUCGACCCCUAAGGCGAGGCCGAAAGGCGUAGUCGAUGGGAAACAGGUUAAUAUUCCUGUACUUGGUGUUACUGCGAAGGGGGGACGGAGAAGGCUAUGUUGGCCGGGCGACGGUUGUCCCGGUUUAAGCGUGUAGGCUGGUUUUCCAGGCAAAUCCGGAAAAUCAAGGCUGAGGCGUGAUGACGAGGCACUACGGUGCUGAAGCAACAAAUGCCCUGCUUCCAGGAAAAGCCUCUAAGCAUCAGGUAACAUCAAAUCGUACCCCAAACCGACACAGGUGGUCAGGUAGAGAAUACCAAGGCGCUUGAGAGAACUCGGGUGAAGGAACUAGGCAAAAUGGUGCCGUAACUUCGGGAGAAGGCACGCUGAUAUGUAGGUGAAGCGACUUGCUCGUGGAGUUGAAAUCAGUCGAAGAUACCAGCUGGCUGCAACUGUUUAUUAAAAACACAGCACUGUGCAAACACGAAAGUGGACGUAUACGGUGUGACGCCUGCCCGGUGCCGGAAGGUUAAUUGAUGGGGUCAGCGCAAGCGAAGCUCUUGAUCGAAGCCCCGGUAAACGGCGGCCGUAACUAUAACGGUCCUAAGGUAGCGAAAUUCCUUGUCGGGUAAGUUCCGACCUGCACGAAUGGCGUAAUGAUGGCCAGGCUGUCUCCACCCGAGACUCAGUGAAAUUGAACUCGCUGUGAAGAUGCAGUGUACCCGCGGCAAGACGGAAAGACCCCGUGAACCUUUACUAUAGCUUGACACUGAACAUUGAGCCUUGAUGUGUAGGAUAGGUGGGAGGCUU
RNAcentral lists this ribosomal RNA (2130 nucleotides) under Escherichia coli. RNAcentral describes it as "partial 23S ribosomal RNA". It matches the Rfam family "Bacterial large subunit ribosomal RNA", at positions 1 to 2157 of the family's 2925-position model. The record is from RNAcentral. Lineage: Bacteria; Pseudomonadati; Pseudomonadota; Gammaproteobacteria; Enterobacterales; Enterobacteriaceae.